Molecule: ribosomal RNA, 1652 nt
Filed under: Salmonella enterica
Lineage: Bacteria; Pseudomonadati; Pseudomonadota; Gammaproteobacteria; Enterobacterales; Enterobacteriaceae
Description: partial 23S ribosomal RNA
Rfam family: Bacterial large subunit ribosomal RNA
Source: RNAcentral
CUAAACCAUGCACCGAAGCUGCGGCAGCGACACUGUGUGUUGUUGGGUAGGGGAGCGUUCUGUAAGCCUGUGAAGGUGUGUCGUGAGGCAUGCUGGAGGUAUCAGAAGUGCGAAUGCUGACAUAAGUAACGAUAAAGCGGGUGAAAAGCCCGCUCGCCGGAAGACCAAGGGUUCCUGUCCAACGUUAAUCGGGGCAGGGUGAGUCGACCCCUAAGGCGAGGCCGAAAGGCGUAGUCGAUGGGAAACGGGUUAAUAUUCCCGUACUUGGUGUUACUGCGAAGGGGGGACGGAGAAGGCUAUGUUGGCCGGGCGACGGUUGUCCCGGUUUAAGCGUGUAGGUGUGUGUUCCAGGUAAAUCCGGUUCACUUUAACACUGAGGCGUGACGACGAGGCACUACGGUGCUGAAGCAACAAAUGCCCUGCUUCCAGGAAAAGCCUCUAAGCAUCAGGUAACAUCAAAUCGUACCCCAAACCGACACAGGUGGUCAGGUAGAGAAUACCAAGGCGCUUGAGAGAACUCGGGUGAAGGAACUAGGCAAAAUGGUGCCGUAACUUCGGGAGAAGGCACGCUGACACGUAGGUGAAGUGAUUUACUCAUGGAGCUGAAGUCAGUCGAAGAUACCAGCUGGCUGCAACUGUUUAUUAAAAACACAGCACUGUGCAAACACGAAAGUGGACGUAUACGGUGUGACGCCUGCCCGGUGCCGGAAGGUUAAUUGAUGGGGUCAGCGCAAGCGAAGCUCCUGAUCGAAGCCCCGGUAAACGGCGGCCGUAACUAUAACGGUCCUAAGGUAGCGAAAUUCCUUGUCGGGUAAGUUCCGACCUGCACGAAUGGCGUAAUGAUGGCCAGGCUGUCUCCACCCGAGACUCAGUGAAAUUGAACUCGCUGUGAAGAUGCAGUGUACCCGCGGCAAGACGGAAAGACCCCGUGAACCUUUACUAUAGCUUGACACUGAACAUUGAGCCUUGAUGUGUAGGAUAGGUGGGAGGCUUUGAAGUGUGGACGCCAGUCUGCAUGGAGCCGACCUUGAAAUACCACCCUUUAAUGUUUGAUGUUCUAACGUGGACCCGUUACCCGGGUUGCGGACAGUGUCUGGUGGGUAGUUUGACUGGGGCGGUCUCCUCCUAAAGAGUAACGGAGGAGCACGAAGGUUGGCUAAUCCUGGUCGGACAUCAGGAGGUUAGUGCAAUGGCAUAAGCCAGCUUGACUGCGAGCGUGACGGCGCGAGCAGGUGCGAAAGCAGGUCAUAGUGAUCCGGUGGUUCUGAAUGGAAGGGCCAUCGCUCAACGGAUAAAAGGUACUCCGGGGAUAACAGGCUGAUACCGCCCAAGAGUUCAUAUCGACGGCGGUGUUUGGCACCUCGAUGUCGGCUCAUCACAUCCUGGGGCUGAAGUAGGUCCCAAGGGUAUGGCUGUUCGCCAUUUAAAGUGGUACGCGAGCUGGGUUUAGAACGUCGUGAGACAGUUCGGUCCCUAUCUGCCGUGGGCGCUGGAGAACUGAGGGGGGCUGCUCCUAGUACGAGAGGACCGGAGUGGACGCAUCACUGGUGUUCGGGUUGUCAUGCCAAUGGCACUGCCCGGUAGCUAAAUGCGGAAGAGAUAAGUGCUGAAAGCAUCUAAGCACGAAACUUGCCCCGAGAUGAGUUCUCCCU